CGGACUCCUACGGGAGCCGGGCUCCACCCACAACUUCAACCUCAAGGAGGACUCCGCCCGGACUCCCACGGGAGCCGGGCUCCACCCACGACUCCGACCUCAAAGAGGACUCCACCCGAACUCCCAUGGGAGCCGGGCUCCGCCCACGGCUUCGACCUCAAGGAGGACUCCGCCCGGACUCCUACGGGAGUCAAGCUCCGUCGUCAACUUCAACUGCCGGUAAGCUCCGUCCGGACUCCUACGGGAGCCGGACUUCGCACCUGACUUUAAUUGCAGGGGACUCCGCUCGGACUC
This 294-nucleotide long non-coding RNA is filed under the name Elaeis guineensis (African oil palm). RNAcentral describes it as "long non-coding RNA (EGUI_LNC047859)". The record is from RNAcentral. Lineage: Eukaryota; Viridiplantae; Streptophyta; Magnoliopsida; Arecales; Arecaceae.